Molecule: unclassified non-coding RNA, 182 nt
Filed under: Glomeraceae sp.
Lineage: Eukaryota; Fungi; Glomeromycota; Glomeromycetes; Glomerales; Glomeraceae
Description: partial contains 5.8S ribosomal RNA and internal transcribed spacer 2
Rfam family: 5.8S ribosomal RNA (bases 1-71)
Source: RNAcentral
GUGAAUCAUCAAAUUUUUGAACGCACAUUGCACUCUCUGGUAAUCCGGAGAGUAUGCCUGUUUGAGGGUCAGUUUAAAUAAAAAUCGGUGUGGUUGCUGCCUUUCGUGGUGACGUACCGGAUGUGGGUUGUCUUGCCUUCGGUUAAGUGACUUAAAAUUGUGUAUGUUCUUUACGAACGUAC